Molecule: long non-coding RNA, 946 nt
Filed under: Phoenix dactylifera (date palm)
Lineage: Eukaryota; Viridiplantae; Streptophyta; Magnoliopsida; Arecales; Arecaceae
Description: long non-coding RNA (PDAC_LNC002396)
Source: RNAcentral
UUUCAACUAGCUGGAUAUGUCCAAGGAAAAAAAAGAAGCGGAACAACAACUGCAUCGUGGAUCAAACUCUUGAUCACCUCUGUACUACAUAAUUAUUAGCCUUUACAAUCGAGAGAAGAUUUAACGUACCCUAAAACCGAGGGUCUUUAUGAAACCAAAGAAAACGGUACCAAAAAGAGAGAACAGAUCUCUUCAACAAUGUAAAAACUCUCCACCAAACACCUAACAUCAAAGAAGGCUCUCAAUAUAUGAAAAGCAUCAUACAUUUGAAGGGGAAAAGAGGAAAAAUAAUCAUCCUUCAAAGUGCAAGACCUCAAUCAACUCAAAUAAUCGCCACAAUGAAUAAACGUGGUAAACUCAACCCAACUAAAUCAAUUCAGAUCUAACAAACGAACGUCAAAUAAUCUGCGACAGCAAGCUCAAAUAAAUAUAUCUAUACACCAUUUAUAUAGCAACAAUGACAACAACUAAUUAUAUAAGAACAACUAAUUAUAUAAGAACACUAGUGAUCAACUAGCGGCACCUAUCCAUAGAUCAUGGCAUGUGCAACUUGGAAAGGGCUCUCAACACAUGCACUUGCAGCCUCAGUAGGAAGAUGUACUCGGCGGUGCGCACGAGAAGCUGCUCGGCCUGCAACUCCCUCCCGCCCGGCACGAGCCUCUGGAGCUCCGUCACCUUCCUCCGCACUGACCCGUGAAAGGCCUGCCUCCCUUUCCGUCGGCGGCUUGCAGCGGCGAUCCCGCGCCGCGCCACCUUUCUUAGCCCGGCCUCCUCUCGCCGUGGCCUCUUCAUUCGAAGAAGGUGGUGGAGAGCAAUUUGGAGGGGGGAGGGAGGGGAAGGGGGGUUGGGUGUGAAGGAAGGAGAAGAAUAUGGGAGGAGUUAAUAAAUAAGAUGCGAGGAGAAGCAGAGAUAUAAAGAGGGGAAGGAGAGGGCUUGGCCAUGUGCG